CAUUUCGGUGGCUGCAUUCCGUAUCGGUGACGUUCGACGUUUGAUAGUUCAUCAAAUAGUAGCGCUGUUAUUUGGUCAAUUUGGUCACCUGUCAGCUGCGCUACUGUUUUAGCAGCGCGUUUAGUAGCGACCGGUAAAGUGUCAAGUAAUGAUACUGCGCUGAAAAACGGUUUAUACUCACCACCGAAAUGAAGCUUAUGAUAAAUAAAAUACUGCUGCUUGCUGGUCACUGAUUGAAGAUCGUUCAGUGGCUACCAUUGGCCAAUCUCACCAAUGGGAUAUAAUAAGAACUGAUGCAGGUUUAUAUCUAUGUGUAUUGUCUAUUCGGAACAAAGUUAGUACGCUUUUUAAACCGAUGUUGGAUUUUUCUCCAGAUACAGGCAACCCACUUAACUUUGGAAGUAGUGCGCUGGAUUCGUCUAAAGAUAUGCUAAACAACCGGAGGAAAAUAAAAUAAUUUGUAAAAC
Long non-coding RNA from Armigeres subalbatus, 467 nucleotides. RefSeq lists it as uncharacterized. The record is from RefSeq and is a predicted model, not a curated record. The transcript has 3 exons. NCBI's taxonomy places the organism in Eukaryota, Metazoa, Arthropoda, Insecta, Diptera, Culicidae.